AGAUCAACACCUCUAUCCAGAAUAUCAUAUCCGAUAUCAGAAGUUUUGGGGAAGUGCGUAUUGAAUCUAAUCCAUGCGACAUAGUUCUGAUCAAGAAGAAGGCCAGACAAGCCCAAUUGAUGGUUCCAAUCAUUUCAAUAAAAUCCAUAGAAAAUAUACAGCUAACGAUACAUAAGACCAUCAAAACUCAAGGAAACUACGUUUACGGAUGUUGCAUGCUGCCUAGUGAUAGAUUGGCAUUUACUUACUACU
This 252-nucleotide long non-coding RNA is filed under the name Mytilus galloprovincialis (Mediterranean mussel). The record is from RNAcentral. Lineage: Eukaryota; Metazoa; Mollusca; Bivalvia; Mytilida; Mytilidae.